AAAUUCAGUAAUAAAUACUUGAAAUAUAAAAUUAACAAUUUUAAUUUCACAUUCAGGCAGAAAACAGAUUUAAAAAGUAGGUCAACCAUAUCCAUCAGUGAGAAAUCCACAUCUCAAAGUAUUAUUGUCCAACAAUCAAUAAAUUUCACAAUGCAACAAUAUCAUUCAAGUUUUUUUUUUUUAUUAUAGCUUUUACAUAGCCUAUAGUGCUACUUUCAUGCUUAUAGCAUGCUC
This is a non-coding RNA of Biomphalaria pfeifferi, 234 nucleotides long. NCBI's taxonomy places the organism in Eukaryota, Metazoa, Mollusca, Gastropoda, Planorbidae. The record is from the annotation of a GenBank genome assembly.